UGGGGAAUUUUGGACAAUGGGCGCAAGCCUGAUCCAGCAAUGCCGCGUGCAGGAUGAAGGCCUUCGGGUUGUAAACUGCUUUUGUACGGAACGAAACGGCUCCUUUUAAUACAAGGGGCUAAUGACGGUACCGUAAGAAUAAGCACCGGCUAACUACGUGCCAGCAGCCGCGGUAAUACGUAGGGUGCGAGCGUUAAUCGGAAUUACUGGGCGUAAAGCGUGCGUAGGCGGCUCGUUAAGUCAGAUGUGAAAGCCCUGGGCUCAACCUGGGAACUGCAUUUGAAACUGGCGAGCUAGAGUUUGAGAGAGGUAAGUGGAAUUUCAGGUGUAGCGGUGAAAUGCGUAGAUAUUAGGAGGAACACCAGUGGCGAAGGCGAUUUUCUGGACUAUAACUGACGUUGAGGAGCGAAAGUGUGGGGAGCAAACAGG
RNAcentral lists this ribosomal RNA (429 nucleotides) under uncultured bacterium. RNAcentral describes it as "bacterial SSU rRNA". It matches the Rfam family "Bacterial small subunit ribosomal RNA", at positions 355 to 776 of the family's 1533-position model. The record is from RNAcentral.